RNAcentral lists this small RNA (209 nucleotides) under Escherichia coli. The record is from RNAcentral. Lineage: Bacteria; Pseudomonadati; Pseudomonadota; Gammaproteobacteria; Enterobacterales; Enterobacteriaceae.
AUAGAGCGAGGACGCUAACAGGAACAAUGACUCAGGAUGAGGGUCAGGAGCGCCAGGAGGCGAAGACAGAGGAUUGUCAGGAAGAUAAACGUCCGGAGACGUAAUUAAAUGGAAAUGGAAUCAACACGGAUUGUUCCGGCUAAUGGAAAAACAGGGUGUGUUGGCGGCCUGAACCGCCCCGGGUUUCCUGGAGAGUAUUUUAUCUGUGA